AUGAAAUACAAAAAAAUGAGAAUAUUCCAAAAUUUUUCGAUGUGCAAUUUACGCAAUUUUGAAAACUUUCGAACGUCACAGUACCUAGAUUUCAUAGUCAGUAGAUAAUAAGAAUGAAAACAUUAUUUUGCAGCCCAUAUCAUCAAAGGCUCUGUCACCAGCGGACGAGAAGCAACUCAAAGAAUCGCUGGCGAAGAAACUCGCAGAACUAAACGCCGCAGUUGCUGGCCUGAUAAACGCUACAUAUGCACGCGAUUCAUCGAACAUUGACCAUGGCGAGGCUGAGUUAUCUAUGGGCGUUAUAGAGCGCUUACUGCCAGAAGUUGUUCAAGGUAAAGUUGUCACAAGAUUAGGAUUGAGACUAGUCUGCUUAAAACAUAUUAAAUGUUAAAACGGGUCACUCACGUAUUUUAAGUCGAAAAUUGGUCGACAUGUUUCGUUCCAUAAGGAGCAACUUAAUCGGAAGCACGCAUUGGCGGACCGAUGCAGACUGCAGGCUGCAGCUCUCCACGACCGAUGGCUUGGCGUUUUAAUAUAAUAUUUAACAUGCUAUCGCAUCUAUCGCAAAGGCUUUCGAUAGGGUUUGGCACAAGGCGCUUCUUUCCAAGCUUCCCUCGUACGGGCUUCCUGAAGGGCUAUGCACAUGGGUCGCCAGCUUUCUAUCUGGGCGUAGCAUUGCAGUUGUCAUCGACGGACAAUGCUCAGAUCUCCGGCCCAUUAACGCCGGCGUACCCCAAGGAUCUGUACUGUCACCUACACUGUUCAUCCUUCAUAUCAAUGAUAUGCUAUUGACUAGCAAUAUCCAUUGCUAUGCGGAUGACAGCGGCCGCAUACCACUUACUACAUACUUAUAUGUUUCCACUUGAAUUGCAUAACUUAUAAACAGGUUGGCAUAAAUGCCACAGUCAUGCGCGCAAUAUACACAGCUGUUCACAUAUAGACACAUUUGUAAGCAGGGCUUUCAAUGAAUUAAUUACGUAUUUCCAACUAUACAAUUUUACAUAGCUUGAAUGUGUCAAUAAUCGGCUAAUUACCUACCAACCUUGUCUAUAACAAUUUAGAAGAUCUAUUGGCGGCUAAAGGAUAAGUGGGAUUUAAUACAAACACAAGAUGCAUGAGCCGGGUAGACAGGCCCAAGAUGACCCUUUCUGACUCAUCUAUAACCUUGGGGAGAACCGAUUAUAAAACGCUGGUAUGAAAUAUAUGACAAUUAUUAUGUUGUUUCUAGUUUUUUUAUAGCCAAUACCAGAAACUGUAAAUUCCUUUUUUCCCAAACAGCAUUACACCGACCAAUAAACGGGUAUAUUUAAAUUUAUUUAUUCCAUAAUACAAAUUACAUUAUAAAUUGCAGGCAUGUCAAUCCACAUGAAUUCAUAUAUUAACAUUCUAAGAAUAAGCAUUUUGUACCUACCUAUGUAUAGUAUGUACAUACGUGCACCGAGUCCUCAAGUAGACCAAUUGUUUUAACAAGCCAAGUAUCCAAUUAGUGAACUUAGUCGUCGCAAUAAAUUCUCAAGGCUUACCAAGAUAACAUCAAAGUUUAUUAAAAAGGGUCGAUAGAUAGUCAAUGUACAAAUAUAACAGGGUUUUCCAAUUACCUUUUUAUAGUUAUAAAUACUUGUGUCCUUAGUAGUCGCUACUCGUUUAACUUUUCGGUCAUCUGAAAAUUUCUAAGUAUAUAAAGAAAUUCAACGUUGACUAAGCUUCCAGUGAGGGGGUUAGUGACCUGCCAGCUGCACUGGAAGGCGGUCCAUGCGGGCUCUGACUCUGACUACUGCCUCACCAUCCACCUGUCCUGUCCAUGCGCAGCCACAUCCGCCCGUUUGCUACCUGUAAUAACUCAAACGUGUCAUUGAUUUUAAAACGCUCUAAAAUUCGAACUUUAAGAUACCUUUCUUCAAACAAAAAGGUCACUUUUGACACUGACAUAUCUAAUCCAUAUCAUAUCUUUAGGAAAUUUUUGACUUAUUUUUAAGUUCGAAUCGGACCGGAACAUGAUGUUAUCAUGAUGGUAUCACGAAAGUCUUGCCAUCAUUCUCGAAAAUCUUAUCUAUGUGUAACUGAAAUAUUUUCAGUAAGAAAUACCUUAAUUGAUAACUAAUUGAAACAUACUUAUAUCGAUUCCAUAGUGUAAUGAGUGAGUGAGUUUAAUCCCUUGCCACCAGUUCAAGGCCCAACUGGCGAGGUUACUAUUCACGAAGUUAAGCAAGCCAUUAGUAAAAUGAAAAAUCGAAAAGCGCUAGGUCCUGAUGAAAUUCCUGCCGAUCUUUGGAAGGCUCUGGGACCAUUGGCAGUAGAGUGGCUCACUAAACUUUUUAACAUAAUACUGGUAAGCAAAUCUAUUCCUGAGGCCUGGCGGCAAAGCUACCUUGUUCCAUUUUACAAGAACAAAGGGGAUUCGGUUCCGCGCCGAUGUAAUUUAAGGCCUAGAACUAAAAGGGUUAAUUAUAAAUAGUUAUAAGUAUAAUAAUGUACCCUUACUAUUCAAUACCAUCAUGAAUUCCCUCACCGAGAGAAUCCAGAAACCCUUACCGUGGAACUUAUUGUAUGCUGACGACGUGGCUCUGAUAUCAGACAAUGAACAAGAAGUACAGGAUAGUUUAGAUCAUUGGAGGCGAUCUCUGGAGCCAAACGGAUUGCGCAUAAGUAGAACCAAGACCGAGUAUAUGGUGCUCAACUUCAGCGCUAACAAAUCUAGCACGACACACACUGAGCUGAAGCUUGAUGGAGAAAUCCUACCAAGAGUAAACAAGUUCAAAUACCUAGGUUCUGUUAUUGCUGAGGAUGGCACGAUUACAGCCGACAUAACGCAUCGAAUAACAUCUGGAUGGAAUAAAUGGCGCGAACUAACAGGGGUCUUGUGUGACCCAAAAAUGCCAAUGAAAACUAAAGGCAAGGUAUAUAAAACUGCCGUUAGGCCAGUUCUACUAUACGGUAGUGGCUACGAAGCAAAUACACGAGCAAAAACUACACACUACUGAAAUGCGUAUGCUUCGUUGGGCAGGAGGAGUUACCCUUAAAGAUAAAGUCCGAAAUGAAUACAUUCGGGGCACCUUCAAAGUGGCACCAGUUACCGAGAAGCUAAAGGAAUCCAGACUAAGAUGGUUCGGACAUGUGAUGCGUAGACCCGAAAAUCACGUAGUGAAGAAGCGCCUCUUCGUGGCUGCAGCAAAGGGAGGAAGGGGCAGGCCAGUAACUACCUGGCUGACGAAUGUCCGAAGAGAUAUGAAGGAGUUGGGCCUGUCCAGUGACGACGCUUAUCAGCGAUCAAAGUGGCGCCUCAAGAUUAGGAAAGCCGACCCCGCGUAACAGGAUGAGGCGAGGAUAAAGAAGAAAGAAGAAGUAUAAUAAUGUACCUAUCUCUUUGAAGAUACUUGUGUCUAAAAUAUUGUCUGUUUUGUUGUCAGGUUCCCAGAAUAAUGUGGGAGGAGUGAUAUGUAUUGACUGUUGACGCUGUACCUGCAUGUUCCAGUAAUAAACCAGUCAUUGGUCCGAA
This is a long non-coding RNA of Cydia pomonella (codling moth), 3496 nucleotides long. RefSeq lists it as uncharacterized. The transcript has 2 exons. The record is from RefSeq and is a predicted model, not a curated record. NCBI's taxonomy places the organism in Eukaryota, Metazoa, Arthropoda, Insecta, Lepidoptera, Tortricidae.